UUCCCCAAAUCGAACAUGUUGGAGGAGUACGAGAAGCUGGCCGCCGCCGUGCCCGACGGCUCCGCCAAGCUCCGGGUCUUCCUCUUCCCGGCCUCCGGGGCCGACCAGCCCGCCUCCGGCUCCGGCUCGCACCUCACCGCCGUCGACGAGACCGGGCAGCGCUACAUCGACGCCAUCAAAUGCGUCUCCGCCAACGCCGUCGCGGCCAUCCGCCGCAGGGAGAGCGUUGCCACGGCGGCUCGUCCGCGCACAACUCCAAGGCCUCCGAGCCCGCCGGCCUCGCGGAAGUCGCUGGGAUUUAGUGUUCUCACAUCGUCAACCCCGGCAAUGGGCAUUCCGGCGCACAACCCAGGCGCGCCCGACCGCCGGGAUGGCCGAAAGGAGCCUCUGGGUAGUUCGAUUGGCUUCCCUUCUUGCAGUCGAAUUCAUGGUCGGGUCCGUCGAGGCCAGCCCGGGAGAUGCUCAUCCGUUGUACAGGGCGACCAUGUAGAUGAGUUUCAGCAGCUCUGUGAGGUACAGAGCGACAAAGCAACCAUUGAAAUUACAAGUCGUUUCAGGGGAACAGUACAUCAGAUUCAGUUUGCACCUCGUGACAUAGUGAAGGUCGGUGAACAAAUCCAGGAGUUCUCCGUCAUCGGCAAGUACGACGACCCGCUCGACCCGGCUGGCUGUUUUCUCGACCUUGCCGCCAUCCACGCCAGGGAGGAGGCCGCCCUCAGCCGCAUCUAUCUUCUUUUUUUGGCAAGACAAGGCGCCAUGGCUAAGGUAUACAAAGAAAGACUGGUCAAACAGUGCAAGGCUCUCUCUCUUGACUCUUGUUGUUACUUGUUGCUGAUAAUGCUCAGUGAUAAUUCUGAAGUAUGGCUACUGUCCCUACGAUCUUGAUACAAGAAAUUGAUGAAGCAACAGGGAAGGACCGGAUCCGGAUGGACGUGUACUUUACAUGAGAUGGAAUGGAUAGAUGCAGAUAUGAGAGUAGAUGGAUGGGCAUUAAAUCGACGGCCCAUUCAAUGGAUAGCUCCAAAACCAAAGUCUCCGUUGGAUGUACGGCGUGCGAUGGAUGUGAUCACACGAUGGAACAGGAGAACAUUUUGUAGUAAAGCUGGAACAUUAAUCAUUAAGGUGUGGUCGUCGAGCCGCUCCGGCGGUGCAUGGACAGAGCAAGGGAGAUACUUGAGAUAAAAUCAGGAGGUCUAGUUGUUUGGACAAAAGGAGACAUUCAUUUUGUUUACAGAUGAAGUAGUUAUCUAGAAAACAUAAAACAUCGUCAGAAGUCCAUAGCUGAUAUUCAGAGAGUUCCCCUUGAAAGAUGCACUACGCCUGAACCCCAGUGGAAACACGAAAGCAACGCUGACAUACCUGCGCAAGCUUACACGUCCUUUGCCAACACUAGCAGAUGAGGAGCUAACAUACCUGCGCAAGCUUGCACGUCCUUUGCCAACACAUUUUGCUCUAGGAUGAUUAAGUAUUAACUGCUUCCGGCACCCUUACCUUCUUAUGCAUACAUCACCUUAAUGUUCCACACAAAAUAAUGUAGAAGCACAAGAAAAAUGGUUUUUCAGAUUCCUCGGUCCUCUGCAAUUUCUUUGCUACAAAAAAUACGGCAGCUAGGAGGCAUUGCCAUUAUGCAUACAUUGGUGGCCUGCCUCCAUCAAACUGAACCUGAGCAACGGGUUUUAGCGGCUAAUCUUCUCCUUCAAUUGGAUAUGCUGAUAAAAUCAAAAAUUGGGCCAAGAGUUGCUGUUGUUGUGAGCACGCGACAGGAAAGGAACGACGCCAUAGUUGAGCUAAGAGAAAAACAGGACAAAAAAUUGUCAAGCAAGAUUGAAGUUCCAAUUGGGCCUCUUCCCUGGGCGCCACUCUCCCGCUGCUCCUCCGACCCAAGUGCCGACAAAAUGGAGCUCGC
This is an RNA transcript of Hordeum vulgare subsp. vulgare (domesticated barley), 1906 nucleotides long. RefSeq lists it as uncharacterized. The record is from RefSeq and is a predicted model, not a curated record. Lineage: Eukaryota; Viridiplantae; Streptophyta; Magnoliopsida; Poales; Poaceae. The transcript is spliced from 11 exons.